Molecule: long non-coding RNA, 17016 nt
Filed under: Lactuca sativa (garden lettuce)
Lineage: Eukaryota; Viridiplantae; Streptophyta; Magnoliopsida; Asterales; Asteraceae
Description: long non-coding RNA (LSAT_LNC006719)
Source: RNAcentral
CGAACUUGACAUUCCCACCAUUCUGAAGAGAUCGAAACUCCCUCAGCUCUUCCUUCCUUCCUGUCAUGUGACGUGAGCAGCCACUGUCAAUGUACCAUUCUUCGUCGAACUGCUCGUCACUUAUAACCUGCAAAAAUUAAGCAGAUUUAGGAACCCAAAGUUUCUUGGGUCCACAUGAGCUUUUCACAGGAACAGGAAUAGUAAGAGAAACAUCAACAAGAUAUGUGCGUUUAACUAAGGUUGUUUCAUCUUUUCUUUUAACAGUAAACACUUUGAUUUUGUUAGAAUUAGCUACAGGUGUUUUGGAUUCAGAUUCUGGUGUUUGAGCACUAGACUGCUUUUGGUUCUCCUUGACUGAGGAAAUCUUCGUUUUUCCAUUCAACUUUCAUUUUAAGUUCGUUGAUGAUUUUGAAUUUUGUGCAGGAACAGAAUUGGGUUUGGAAGAGGGUUUAGAAUGAGAAGAAUUAGAAAAAGAGAAUUUAGAAUGAGAGUUUUUCCUGACUUGAGGUUCGAAAUGACUCUUUUGUUUAUGAUCAUUAGAGGUACCGAACCUGGACCUUUGGUGGCUGCUCGAUGAUGAGCUGAAGUUGGAUUUUUGGUUGUUGUUGGCUGGUGGUCUGAAACUUGAUCUUUUAUUAUAAAAGCUCGAAGGACUGAAAUUAGGUCUUUGCAUGUUAUUACUUGGCGGACCGAAACUCGCUUUUCGGUUGCUGUUGCUUUCGGGACCGAACCUAUCCUUUUGGUUCUGUGCUUCAUGAGGCCCGAAAGUCUUUUUCUCUGACUUAGAAUCUUUAUCAUGGUAAGAGUAAUGAGGAUUUUGAGAACGCCAAAACUGCUUUCGCUUUGAGAGAUUCUUCUUGUAUCUAAGAUUUCACUGCUGCUUUUGAUUUUUCACCUGUUUCGGUUGUCUGUGGAUAUUGGCUUUUUGUUUCGGCUUCUUGACAGCUAGUUCACUUUUCAUAGAUGAUGUUUCGCUUGUGGACGUGACUUCUUCUACAGGUAUUUCUUUUGUGCCACUUGUACUUGGCACGUCAAAGUUGUCAGGCUUAUUCAGCGGCUCUAGUACAUAUCUUCCAUUGGUUUUCCAGGAUGUUCGCUCUGACAGACCAACUGUUUCGUCUGCAUUAUCUAUAGGAGCUGACCAGAAAAACUCAUCAUAGCCAUCUGCAUUGUCUUCGUUCACCAUGGCAGUGAGUUCGGCUGUUUGAUGUUCGGUUACUCCUGUAACCUUAUAUACCUGAUUGGGAGUGGUUCUAACCUUCUGAAACACAACGGCCUUUUCUUUAAGAGCUGGGGACUUAGUUUUGGACAAACGAGCGAAUUCCACAGAAUUUUCAGAAAUCAGAUUUUUGUGGUUUUCGGGUUCGCUCUUGACAAACUCAGAACAGUCGACUUCAACCUCUACAGAAAUUUCACUCAUAUCAUCGUCCUCAUUAAGUUCAGAUGCGUUUUCAACAUCAAUUUUAUUUUCUGAACUUAAAUUGGCACUCAAUGAGUCGAAUUUUUGUAUGGUUUCGGUCCUGAGUUUCAGCUUAUCGUUUUCAUCCAAAAGAUUUUUAAGCAUGUCCUUAUGGUCUUUGGACUUUAUAAAAGAUUCUAUUUUGUCCAGACCAUACAUAUAAGUGGGAUUGACAUCAUCGGAAGAUACAACACUUUCACAGUUGUAUGCUUCAGCAUCGAUUUCAUCCUCCUUAAACUCAAGGAAGGGUAAAAUCAUGCGAUGUAUCUUCUGCCCUAUUUCACAAUUCAGAUGCAGUUGAGUAAUGUUAGCAUAAAGUCUUUUAGCAAUCAAACAAAAAACAUUCCUUUGUUUUAACAAUUUCAAAUUGUCUCUUUGCAAAUAAAUGUUUUCAUCCUUAGACUUAAUCAGCUCCGACUCCUUCUGCUCAAUCCACAUCCUUCGCUCCUCACUCUUGGAUGACACCCUGCUUAUUUGGUCAGUUAGGUUAGAAUUUGUGACCCGUGUUUGAGUUAAACAACUAUCCAGAUUUGAGAUUCUUGAAUUUAAGUUAUUUAAUUCCUUUUCAUAUGAUUUUUGUGGAAUUUUGAACGAAAUAAAAAGAGAUUGUACCUUCUUGAUCAGUUCAUCAAGUUCACUGAUAUGCACACUAAGAGGUUUUGCUGUGAAGCACAAGUCCUCUCGCUCCUUGGGGUCUUCAUUUCCACUAUCAGUAUUAUAUCCCCUCAUGUGAGAUACGUCAGUCACCAUCAGACACUUUCCACUGCUUUCACCACCUCUUGCGACAUAAGCCUUUCCAUGAGAAGGCUUUCUCACCUCAUCAUCUUCUGAGUCGGUCGACCAAACCUGUACGCCACCGAACUCAUCAUCCUCUGCCGAACCCUGUACAAUAAGAGCAUUCAUAGAAGGAUUAGUAGCAGCUUUCUUCCUUUUAAUCUCUUCUAGCUUCUUCAUCAGGAUUGCCUCUUCAUCUUUCUCCUCAUCUUUCUCUGUCAUUUUCUUCAAAACACAAUCUUUAGCGUAAUGAUUCUUUCCUCCACAGUAAUAACAGUUGACACCAGAAUCUACUUCAACCUUCACCUCUUUCUUUGGUUCUUCAGUCUUCGGCUCCUCCCUUACUUUUUCAGAACUGUAGCUUCCCUGCCAAUUUCUGUUCUUAUUGGUAGGAAACUUCUUCUUGAUGAACCUUUUGGGAUUGGACACCAUCAUAGCAUAAUCUUCUGAAGUUAGAUCGUAGUCCUCCAGGUUCAGAUCUUCGUCUUCUACUGCAUUCUUACUUUUAGACAGGAGGGCCAAGGACCCCAAGUUUGAGACCACACUCUUCUCUUGCAUCACUAUCUUUUCCUGGGAUUUCAGAAUUCCCACCAGUUUCGCCAGCGAAUAUGAUUUGAACUGCUCAUGAGCUUUAAUUGUAGACACAACAGUUCUCCAUUCGGGUCUUAAGCCAUUCAAAAAAGUAACCUUUUUUUCAAUAAGCUUCCUUUCGAUAUCAUGUUUAAUCAUCUUGCUGAGAAGAUGAUUGAAGCGAUCAAACGUCUGUGUAACGGACUCAUCAGGAUUUUGCUUGAACUCUCCAAACUCAGACAAAAGCAAGGUCUGAAUUGAGUGCUCCAAAUCUUCAUCUGUGGAAUACAGCUCUCGCAGCCGAUCCCAGAUUUCUUUAGCAGUACUGCAGGAACUCACCAACCUAAACGUGUUAGAUUGAAGAGCGAAUCAAAUAUGUCUCGAUGCUUUGAUGUUGCACUGAAACUUCUCCUUUUCGUCUUGAGCGACGUCUUUCACAUCCUUUAACAGAUCAUUAUACUCCUUCUGAGUUUUAAUAAUUCUGGAUGUUCCUGAAUGAGCAAAUGGUCCAGACACAAUGGCUUCCCAUAUUAGAUACCCAUUAUCUUUAGAUCCGAUGACGUACUCUUCGAAAUGAUGCGCCCAAACCUCAUAAUCUUUAGUGUAAAGAAUUGGAAUCUUUGUUGUAGAUCCAAUACUGUUUGAGAUGUUGAUAGGAUUAGAUUGAGAAUCGUCCAUGCUUGAUCGUUUAACCUGUUGCAAGAUCAGACUUGUAAUAUGUAAUAUUAGGGCAAAACGAAUAAAUAAUGAGAUACGUCAAUUAUGGAGUGACGACUCAAUAAAUAUCAGUUAAUGCGGAAUAAACCCUAAUCACUUCUUUCACAGAAGAGAUGUGUAUGAAUUACACAGCCUCCUGCUCUGAUACCAAUUGAUGAGUUUAUAAAACUCUUUGAUCGAUUAGAUCUUAUAACAGGUAAAUCAAGAAAGCGAAAAACAGUAAGAUAAAGCACAAGAAUGAAUCUGAAUGUGUCAAAUGAUUCAAUUGAUUCAAUCCUCAUCAAAGCUCGAUGAAGAACUUCCGCUGUAGAGGAUAUUAGGGUUACAAAAGACAAGAACAAUGAACGCUAUUAAAUUCUCUAUCAAAUCUUACGUUCUAGGAUGCAUGCAAGCAUCUAUAAAUAUAAAACCCUACAAAAUAACUCACAGAUGGACAGGCCCAUACCGGAGAUUAAAUGGACUAAAUAUCGAGCCCAAGACGCAACACUAUCUGGACCUAACAGUGACAAAUGUGACACUUACACAGACGCUUGCAGGGCGUCUAGUUCUCUAGUGUCUAUCAGUAUGGUUACGAGUAUCUUGGGGUUACCUUAUAAUUCAUGGCCUUAAGGUACGGGUUUUAACACUGUAUUCACUGUAUACACGGUAUUCCCUGUGUUCAUUAUAUUCACUGUAUACACUGUAUUCACUGUAUUCCCUGUGUUCACUGUAUUCACUGUUUUUAUACCUUACUAGACGUAUCAUUCAGUUGAUACCGUCUGGGGUCUGUGUUCUCUGUUUUUAGAUCUUGCUAGACGUAUCAUUCAGUUGAUACUGUUAGGGGUCUGUGUUCACUGUUUUUGGACCUUACUAGACGUAUCUUUCAUUUGAUACCGUCUGGGGUCUGUGUCUCCUUUUGUUAGACUGAGCCAGGCGUACCGUUCAUUCAAUACUCUCCUGGAGUCUAUGAUUUCUUUCUGCCUUAGUCAGCAGUCUUCACUGCUGAGGCAUAUGUUAUUUUCCCUGAUAUUCUCCUACUUCCUUUAAAAUCAAACACCAUAUUUUGGUAAUGAUAGUGUUUAAGGGAAAAUUACUUUUUUUUAUAACAUAACUCUAUCGGGUCUUGGUAGAAGACUACUUUUAUUUAAGAAAAUAUAGGAAUUUUCUGGAAAAGACUCUAAUACACUGUUGAUUCCAAACUACUACUUUUAAAUUAGUUAUUUGAAUAAAAUGACACUAAAUACUUAUGAACUCACCAGCAUUUGUAAAAAUGUUGAUACUCGCUUUUCAAAUAACUUGUAUUCUCAGGUCAGCAAUAGAUAGGUACAUUCCAGGAGCUUCUGUUGAAGACGGUUUGUGCCAAGUUGCAUCUAUACUAGUUUCUGUAUUACUUUGAUGAUUCUAUAAAAUGUAAACCGAUGUGAAACUAUUACUAUUAACGCAAUGAUUGUUGUACUUUGAUUACUAUACUGCAUAUGUUGUGAUACUUGAUAUGACGUCAUCCACCCCAGAACGUUUCCGCCGUUCCGGUUUUGGGGUGUGACACCACUAUUGCAUGUUCGGGUUGAAACAUACCCCAGGGUUGGGCCUAUGAUUGUAUGUUGAGUUGGAAUAUACCCCAGGUUGGGCCCACUGAUUAGUAUGACAUAUGGUACUUUGGGGAACUCACUAAGCUUUGUGCUUUCAAGUUUAUGUUUAUGGUUUCAGGUACUUCCGGUACCAAAGGGGAGGGCCCGACGUGAUAGCACAACAUCCCCCUCAUGAUUCCACGCUUAUGAUUAUUUUACUCUGAUGACUUGAUAUUUUAAAUCGUGGUUGAAUUUGAGACAUCUGACGUAUGGAAUUAAUGAUUUUUAAAAUGAAAAUAUUUUAUCAUCGUUUUUGGGAUAUUAGAAAAUCUUACAUAAAAAUGAACAAGGAAUUACAAUAAAUAGUGUCCUACUAUCUAAGACUUGUCCUUGUACUCCUGUCUUUUUUUGGGUACCACAACUACUACUACCUGAACCUGCAAAACAUAAAUUUGUACACUAUCAGACACAAUGUAUAUGGUGAGUUAUUCUUCUAUAUUUUCUUAUCUUUUUUCCUUCUCCCUCUCUCAGACACUAUAACCUAACUCUUACUCUAAUAACAUACAUUUCUAUUCUUUCUUCUUGCACCUACCUGUUCUAUUCUUCUCUAAUAUUUUUCUACUCUUUCUCAUCUCUUCUCUUUCCAUCUCUUCUCAUACUCUGUACAUACUCUAUCUCAAUCUCUAACUUUGUCUAUUCUUCACUUUGUCUCUACUCUUCUCUUUCUCUACUCUACUCUUUCUUUACUUUACUCUUUCUCUCUCUAUUUUUAUCUCUAAUGCCACAUCAAUUUUGUUCUUAUUUAGACCGAACGGUCACAUCUCAUACUCUAAUCUUAUCUAUCUUCUAAGAGAACAACGAUUCUCAUCCAGUCUUACUCUCUAUCCUAUGACCAUCAUGGAUCCCUAUUCUUUCUUCUUCUCUUGAAUCCCUCAUAGAUUCCUUUUUCUUAAUCCCUCUAGGAUUACCUCUAAGGGUGCGUUUGAUACAGAGAAAUGGAAUUCCUACAGAGAAUGGAAAUGUAGAGAAAGAGAAUUAAGUUGGAGAAAGAGAAUUGACUCCCCUGUUUGGUAGAAUCGAGAAUCCACUAGAGAAAUGUUUUUGAGAAUCAUUUCUCUUGUUUGGUUGUAUUAAUCAAUGAAAUGGAAAUGAGUUUUUUUUACCUUGUUUACUCAUUUUCAAACAACAUUUUUUAUAAAAAUGCAUUACAAUGUACAUCUUAAUUAGUCAAAAUAUGUAUCUUUUAUGUUUAUAUUUUUUUUAUUUUAAUAUUAAUUGUUACUAAAUAAUUUAUUUUCUAAUCAAUUAAUAUCAUUAUUUAUACAUAUUGUAUUUGAAAAAAUGUUUCUAAUAUAAAAAAAUAACUUACAAAUAGAUUUAAAAGAAAUAUGCAAAUCAUACUAUUCAAGAACUAUGUCAAUGGAGGAUAUAUGCAAAAAGUAUAAUUCAAUAUUCCUAACAACUAAAAAACAUAACUAUGUCUAAUAUAGAAUAUACAAAGAGUCAACUUCAAUAUUCGUAAAAACUAAAAAAAAAAAAACAUAACUUAAAAAAAGCUAAUCAUGAUAUUGAGCCAGCCCCAAUCAUUUUCAUGUAUCAAAUCUUUUCUUCUUUUGUCAUCCUAAAAACUACCCGGGCACGAAAGUGACCUUUGCUAAACAUGUUAAUCGCCUUAAUUCGUUGUUUGACAUUGAUAUUUGGCAUGCGUUAUAUAUCUUCGAUAAUUUAUUUAUCAUAUCACAUGCUUCCUUAUUUUCUUGCCUUCCUAUAUUCUAUAUUGUUUCAUUAUGUUUUUCACCAACCUCCUUGAAAGUCUUUCAUUUCUUUCGUUGCUUCCUUAUAAUAUCUUCCAGUGUCAUCCGUUGGAGGCCUUUUGCGUUUACUAUUGACACGAACAUUUUGUUGCGUCUCUUCAACAAUCUCUUCCAACCCUUCCACAUCAACAGGUGAGUUUCUUUGUAUCUCUUCAGUCAUAUCUUCACCAAGAUAAGUAGCUCUGUGACCAGUAGCUCUAUCCUUCCCGAAGAUUUACAAUAUGUUUUAAUGAUGCUAAAAAUACUACAAAAAUAAUCAUUAUAGUACCUUUAUGUACUCAUCCCAAACUUCAGCAUCGAUAGUAACACAACAUUUAUCUGUAUCCCAGCCAAAUCCACUCGUAUUUGUUCCAUAUACCAUGUCAUGCACGAUGUUGAAAUGGUUUUUCCAUGUCUUCAUCCUCGAUUUAAUGUGAGGCUAUGCUAUCAAACCCGAGUUAGGAAGACUUACAUCUAGUAAUUGUUCCAUUACCUUCAAAUAACUAGGUUUGAAUCCGUUGCCGGCACCACCAUACUUUCCGGAUACACGUAACUCCAACAAUGCCUCAGUUAACUUUGAAUCCUCUUCAGUAGUCCAUGUGUGUUUGUUUCGCCCUGCCGUGUCUACAAAAAUAUUUACAUAAUAGAUGCUUGAAAUACCAUACAACAAUCAUAACAGCUCCUGUUUGUGGCUUUAUAACUUAACCAAAACUUAACGAAUUAAGAUGUUUUUUUAUUCUAAAACGUAGACAAGACAGAGCAGUACAUUUAGAAAAAAAAAUCGCAUCAUUCCGAGCUUGUAUGAAGCUUUUAUGAUGGUUCAAAGUUGGACAAAAUUUAUAAAAAGUGUUGAAAUAUUAUGCAACAAUUAUAAUAGCUCCUGUUUGUGGCUCUAUAACUCAACCAAAACUUAAUCAAUUAAGCUGUUUUUUAUGCUAAAACGUAGACAAGAAAGAGGAGUACAGUUUGAGAAAAAAAUCGCAUUGUUUCGAGCUUGUAUGAAGCUUUUAUGAUUGUUCAAAUUGGAGAAAAAAAAUCUGAAAUUGUAAAAAAAAAAAUUGCUUUUGUUCAUUCAACUCAAGCAUAAACAAUGAACAAAUAGCAAUUGAUCAUCAUUGAACACUUAUCUACAUGAUUCAUCCACCAAGAUCGAUUUCAACAUAGGAAGAUUCAAACAUGCAAAAAAAAAAAAGCAAUUCAUAGCAAGCUUAACAUAUUCUUGAAUUGGAUAUUAAAAACAAAAUUCAUAGAAAAUUAGCACAUAAUCGACCAACAAGGAGAAUCAGAAAGAAACAUGAAGUCAUACCUUCACUUGGAAGUGGAUUGGUGAUGUCAAAAUCGACCAAGAAGCUGCUACAAAGAAAAGUGAAGUUGUGCCUUCCAAGUUACGAACAACAUAGAGGAGUAAGGCAUAUGUAUUUUCUUGUAAUCGUGGGCCAAUUCCAUGAUAUUCGGUAGCGGUUGUUUGAAAAAACUCAGAAAUUGAAUGUAUUGGGGAUAGAAUGGGGGCGCUAUUUUAUUCUCGACCCACGUACGUUGGGCGUACGUGGAGUGCGCUGGGCGUACGGCCACCUAGGACAAACCCUAAUUUUUAGGGUUUGAGCUUUAUUUAAACACCAUAAUUUGCUCUUGGACCUUCUUAUGACCAGCCUCCACCUCUCUAAAACCUGAGAACAAAACCCUAAUUCCCAUUCGAGUGUUUUGACCUUGGAAGUGAACUUUGAGGGUGUUUUUGGUGAUCUUAAGGAAGAAGAACUCUUGGAAGUUGCAUUGGUGUAAUUGAAUCUUGUGGAUCCAAAACCAUCACCAACUUGGAAGGCUUUUGGAGGUAUAAAGCUUUAACUUGAUGCUCUUUAUGAUAGAUCUAGUCUAGGGCAUGAUUUUGUACAUUUGUCCAAUGAGUUCUCUUUGUGGGUUUGAGCCACUCCCGGAGCUAGGAAUACUAGAUCUUAGCCUCUCUGAUGUUCCUUGUGCAUAAAAAUGCUAUCUUGAUGUGUUAUAUUGGACCAAGCAUGAGUUAGGGCUCUUAUUGUGGGUCUUAAUGUUAAAAAAACAAGUAUUGAGUCCCAUUAAGUCAGGAAAAAUUGUAAAGUUGCCAACUUUACGUGUUAAGACCUUAUUUUGUAGUAGAUCUCAAGUCUGGACGUAAAGGUCUUAAGGGAUUACGACCCAAGGUUGGCUUUUAGGAAUUUGGCUAGUACGUCGGACGUACUCCUUAGUACGCUACGCAUAUUGGGUUAGCAGCCCGCUUCUACGUCAAACACAGGGCGUACAAAUGGGGUACGCUAAGCAGGGCCUUUAUUUGUGUUUGGGCCCUUUUGGAUAUGAAUAUCUUUUGGGAUUUGGGCCUUAGUUGGAUUUUGGGCUUUAUAUCUGUUGGGCCACAGCUGGAGCUUAGGUUUAUGGGUUGGGCCAUUUUUAGGCCUUGGGGCACUAUAAAGUAGUAGGCCAAGCUAGUUGGGCCCAGUAAGGAAAAAGGUAAAAUAGUCUUUACCUUAGAGGUUGAGGAUGAUGAGUUGGGACCCCGAUUAUGGAUUAUGAACUAAUUAUUAAUUAGGGUAUUUCUUUUUUUGGAAACGGAAAAAAAAAAGAAAAAAAAAAGUGUAUCACGAAACCAAAGUGGAACAAAGUGUAUCACUACAUCAUAAAACAUCAGAGUAAAUUACAAAAUGCGGAAUAAGAUGGUGUGUGCUCUACAAUCAUCCCGAGUUCUUCCCUAUUGAACUACAAGUACCUGAAACAUAAACUAAAAACCAUAAGCACAAAGCUUAGUGAUUUCCGCAAAAUACAACAUACCAUACAUAAUAAACACAUAUUGGGCCCCGCCCAAGGUUCUAAAUGGCGUGAGGCGUGGCGUGGCGGCAAGGUCAAGCCUCAAGCUUAGGGAGCCAUGGCGAGCCAUGGCGUUUUUCAAGGCGUGAUGUGAGGCGGCGAGUUUGUAUUAAUUUAAAAUUAUAUUACCACAUAAAUAUAAAUUUAUAUUAAAUAUAACUACUUUUUAGAAGUGUUAGAUCAAUAACUAAUAACAAAAUUUUAACAAAAACCACAAUACUUGUAUCUCCGAUUAGAAAAGACAUAAAAAAGAGCAAAAAAAUGUGUCUCAAACGAAAAAACACGCGCCAUAACACGCCAUGACGCGCCAUAUCACGCCUUGCCACGCGCCACGCCUAAUAGCAACGUUAUGAGACUUUUCGUAACGGCGGAGCCACGCCUCACGCCAUGGCGCGCCUUGGCGCGCGCCAUGGUGCGCCUUUUAGAACACUGGCCCCGCCCGACAUCAAGUCCCACUUGGUAUACAAAUUUGUCUAUCAUUAGGCCCCACCUAGCAUUGGGCCCCACCCUAUAUACAUAUAUACAUAUAAAUAUAUAAUCAUACAAACACAUGCGAUAAUCACGAAGAUAAUAGCAUACAAUACAGUCAUCGGGCCCCGCUCGGCAUCGGGCCAUGCCUGAUAAGCAAACCAACACAUCACACAUGCAAGAGUCACACAGACAUCUAGCAUACUAACAUAAUAAACCAUAGGUCGGCAUUGGUGCCUUCGAGCCGCUAUACAGAGUGAUGAAACUCACUUCAAGCAGCUGAAUCAGCCGAAUAAGUCUCCGACUGUUGGCCCGGAAAAUCCUCGCGCUAUCAAAAUCAAUAACUUCCAAUUAUUAGUUGGAUUCCGACUCAUAACCAAAAUUCUAAGCUAUUUGGCCUAUAACAAGGGUAAAAGACCAAUUUACCCUUUAUCUAACUUGGCUCAAAACCAAGUCCCAAAUCCUAAAGCCCAAUAUAUGGCCUAAUCUUCAAAAUUAGGCCCAAACCCAUCAUGGGCCUAAAAUCCAAGGAAGCCCAACAUGCUAGGCUAAAUCUUAAAACAGAGAUCUAAUGUACCAAUAAGGCCCAAACUUCCAAAUACACACAAUGGCCCAAUACCGACGACGUUAAGCCUAAAGGCUCAUAUACUGAGUACGUGGGGCGUACUCAGCUUGUACGCUUAGCGUACUCCACCUGGGGCUAGUACGCACAACAUACCAGCUGGGUACACCUAUGUACUCCCCAGUGUGCAAACUUACUCCAUUAAUCACUUAACCAAUUAAUCUGUUUAUCCUAGCUCUCAGAUCUGGUCCCUAAAGGUGACUUACCACGUAAAGUUAGCAACUUUACAAGCAUACAUGGCUUAAUGGGGCUCAAGAGCUCAAAAAGAGCUUAACAAAGGUCUUAAUACAUGCAUGGGUCAAGAUACACCAAUAAAGUUUGCAUUUUUAUGCAUAAAGGACCCCUAAAACGUCCAAAUCUAAGGGCUAAGCUUCUGAAACAACCUUUAAUCACAAGGACCAAGAAAAAGGGACCAAAAUAAGCCAUAAACAAACUCAAACUAGAUACACAAGGAGUUGUCAAGUUAAUAACUUUAUACCUCAAAUGGCUCGAAAUGAUAAUGCUAACUUUGGAUCUCUAAGCUUCACUCCAAGGAAUGAGUCUUCGAACUCCUACCACUUCAAAAUGCACAAGAACACACCAAAAUUAUUUACAAGAGCUCAAAAGCUCCAAAACAAUGGCUAAGGGGCUAAAUUAGGGUUUAGAACAUAUAGAGAGAGUUAAUAAAUCCAUAAUGAUAUGGUUUACAUUUAAUUAAAUUAAAAGUGUAAUUUGUUAAAUUAGACCAUAUAGUAUUUUAAAAGUGUAAAAUACACCCUUAUACUAUAUAUAAAAUUAAAAGUCUAAUAUUAUAUAUGUAUAACUUAAAUGGCAGUCUUACCGUUAGUAGGCCUCAUUCACGGAGCUAGUCUAUAAGGGGUGUUUAAGGAAGCGGCCUGUAAAAUGCCCAUCAUUGGGUAUCCACUCUUACUUACCGCACUCUUGACUAAUGGAGGGUCGUUAGCCGAACGGGUAGGAUAGGGCAAACCUUUUCCAUUAAAAGUAUAAUGAAUUAUAACGUAACUAAAUGUUUUUACAAAAUUACUAAUCUUAAUUACUUUAGGAAAAAGUGAACUGAUGCAAUUCCAUAAACUUACACUUUGUACCCUUGCUAAGACGUUAGUAGAGCGCGUGUGGUUAACCGGCACACUAAUUGGGUUCUAAGCAAAGGUGGUGAAGGGUGACUCGAUGUUUUUCAUAGUUCGGUGGAGCGUGUGUGGUUAACCGGCACAUCGAAUAGGUGAAUGUAACAUUGGGGGCACCAUGUAAGUUUGCAUGGUUAUUCACACCCUGUUUUGUGAUCAUCGGCAUCCCAGUCACAAAUCGAGGGGCAUAUCGAGAUUUAAACAUGCCAUUGAAAAGCUCAAUGAAUCUCAAAGGAUCUAGGAGUUUUCAAUACAUUUAAAACUUAAUCUCUUUUUUGUUUUUCAUGGUGGAAAAUUGGUGAAUCGUCAUUCACUUACCUUCAAAUGUUCUGCAAUUUGGAUUACGGCAUCCCUCUUCCAAGUCGUAGAAUAUUGUGUUGGAUCCUAGCCUUAAUAUCUCAUUUGGGUGUUUAUUAAGGACUCAAUCAAUCAACUAACUUGAAUUUUCUCCCGUUUUGUAGAUGUCAAAGUAUGAGGGAUUUACUUCUGCAUCUGAUGGCGUAGAGUGAUGUGGUGGUUGCCCUAGGGAAACCAAAGAGGUUAUGCGAUGCUGAGAACCUGGUCUAAUUUAGGAUUGUUUGGAUUGAUAGGGGAGUGACUUGGAGGACUCGGGGCGAUCCUUGAGGAAAGUGUGGAUAGAUGUGGAAGGUAGUAUGGGCCCGUACUACUAGAAGCAGAGGAUCCAUACUCGAGUCAAGGAGAGUCACGAUGAUACUAGGAAGCUUAUAUAAUGUGGGAUUCUUCGAGUAUGUUCUGAUGGUUUCUAUGGUUUAUUUUCAGUAUGGUGGUCACUCGAGGAGGUUGUAAUGCAGAUAGGGGUGCCGAUGUUGGUGUCGGUGAUAGUUCACGUUCGGGCUCUGGGGCCAGACAUAUGGAUGAUUAGAUAUGGAAGUUCAUUUCAUCAGAGAUUACCCGCAAUAUUCUUGAGCAGACUCUUGUGAUCUUUGGUAUGGUCAAGGAGGGUAUCAUGGAGAUUCUGGAUGAGCGCUAGGGCGCUUUUCGUUCUGAGAUGGUGGCGAUGAUGGGAGCUUGCACUUUGACCUUCCGUAAAUUCCGGGCAUGUGGAGCCCUGCAAUUUUUCGGGAAUAAGUACCUAAUUACGAGUAGGCAUUGGUUGGCAGACAUUGGGAAUGCCUUCUGAUCUAGCCUCUGUCCCGAGGACAUAAAGGUCCGACUUGCAUCCUGUAUUUUGAAAGACAGAGCUCGCGACUAGUGGGAGGAGGUUGGACACGCCUUGGGAGGCAAGGCGGUUGAGUCGAUGACUUGGGAGGAUUUCGUGACGAGGUUUCGGGCUGAGUUUGCACUGAUGAUUGAAGCCAACAGUUGGCGAUAGAGUUUCAGGACCUUCACCAGACUACUGAGACAGUGACAGAGAUCACUACUAUGUUCCGAGAGAGGGCAUUACUGGUUCUGUAGUGUGUGGUGGACGAGGAGAUGAAGAAUGCGAGAUAUCAUGAGAAGUUGAAGAGCAAUAUCAAAUAGUUUGUGAGUAGAUCCAGUUACAAGACACUGGUUAAUAUGAUAACGCGAGAGAGAGAGAGAGAGAGAGACAGAUAGAUAGAUAGACAGAGAAUGACUUGGAGAUGGAGAGGAAGAGGAAGUCGGAUCAGGUUUAGAGUUUAGAGGGUUCUGGAAAGAGGCCCAAGGUUUUUGACUCGAGGUCGAGGGGCAAGUAGGGUGUGGGGGUCAUUGCAACAAGUGCAGAAAGACGCAUGAUGGGGCGUGUAGGGUGGGUGGUUCUGGUUGCUUCAAGUGUAGUAGGAUGGGUCACUUCAGCAAAGAUUGCACUGCCACCACCACCACCUAGGUAUCUUUUCUAAUUUGCUUCUAUUAUAAUCAGAGGGGCCAUAAGAAGGCCAGUUGCCCAAGUUUAGCAGCAGGGGGACCAGUUGUAGCACCCGCUCCGAUGACUUUGCAGAUUACAGAUGGCCGACAAGUCAAGGAGGAUGCGCUUAUGAUGAGGAACAGGGCCUUCCACCCGACAGCCGAGGAGGCUUGUGCAACACCAGAUGUAGUGAUGGGUAUGUAUCUUCUCCUUAUCUUUUUAUUUAUGUUAAUUUCCCUAUUUAUAUUUUGCGUUUGCUUUUCGGGUCGUUCCAUGUAAACGGUAUCUCUGCUCUAGUUUUGUUUGAUUCAAGGGCUGGCCGAUCCUUUGUAUCUCUCGCGCUCAACAAGAGAGUUGAAGGGCAAACUCAACGAGUUGAGUCAACUGGGGGUGUUGACUUUGACUUUGACCUGGACUUGACUUUGACCAUAGUUGACCCUAAGGGGUUAUAGGUAUGAAAUGGUAUCUAAGGGGUUUUUUUGAUUCAAGGAGUGAGUAGAACUGAUUCCGGAGCAGAGAUGUUUCGGCUAGCAUCCGACAUUUGAGGUGAGUUUCCUCCUGUAUGAACGGGAUGAAGGCACCAAUGUCGGGCUGUAUAUGUAUGUUAAUAUGUUCCAGACUAAGGUCUGAUGUCGGGAAGUGCCCGAUGUAGGUUUAUACGUUUCCAGAUUUCGAUUCGAUGUCGGGCGAUGCCCGAGGAAUGUUUGUAUGUUUGAUGUCUUUGUGAUUCUUGCAUGUGCCUAUAUUAUUGUAUGUUUCCAAAUUACGGUCUGAUGUCGGGCAAUGCCUGAGGAAUGUUUUUAUGUUUUCGGAUUUCGGUCUGACGUCGGGCGGGGCCCGAGGAUUGUUUAUAUGUUUAUGUUAUGUGAUUAUUUAUGUGUAUUUGUUGAUAUGUUAUGUGUAUUUGUUGAUAUGUUAUAUGUAUACUGAGCUUUGCUCAAUGUCGGGUGGGGCCCGAUGAUGGACUAUGUCCAAUGCCGGACAGUGUCCGAUGCCAGGCAAGACCCGAUGAAGGGGGCGGAGCCCACUAUAUGUUUAUAUGAGAUUGUAUGAUUAUGUGUAUGGUAUGUGGUAGUUUGGGGAGACUCACUAACUUUCAUGCUUACAAUUUUCAGUUUUGGUUUCAGGUAUUUCCGGUAGCAAGGGGAAGAGCUCGGGAUGACUGCAUUUCACACACCAUGAUGUUAGCAUGGGAUGUUACUCUGAUAUAUAUAUAUAUAUAUANUUAGCAAUAAAUUAAAUAUAGUAAGUUUACAUUGGAUGAUGUUAUGGUAAUAUAGAUUUAAAGACGGUUUUGAUAAUUAUAUUUUUUUCACGUCCUUAAUCAUUUUUAAAUUCAUGUUUUCAUAAUAAAAAUGUUAAAAAUCAUUCUUUGCUAAUAUGAAACAAUUUAUCAUCUAUCAUCUNAAAACACGAAAACAAAUUUUAUCUUAUGAAAAUCAAACACAUGUACUUUAAAAAAAAUAAAUUCAUUAGCAAUAAAUUAAAGAUAGUAAGUUUACAUUGGGUGGUGUUAUGGUAAUAUAGAUUUAAAGAUGGUUUUGAUAACUAUUUCUUUUUCACGUCCUUAAUCAUUUUUAAAUUCAUGUUUUCAUAAUAAAAAUGUUAAAAAUNNNNNNNNNNNNNNNNNNNNNNNNNNUAUAUAUAUAUAUAUAUGACAUGUGUUUCGAUAUUGAAAUACUGAUUUUGAUGUUUCGAGAUAAUAUGGUUCCUAUUUUGAUAAAUGAUUUUUGGUAACUAUGAUUUAUUUAAUUAUCUAAAAAUAAAAUUUUUAGUCAUGAUUUUUAAAAUGUUACACAGAUUUUAACAAAAACCGAUUAAAACCCAAAUCUCUUUAAGAUAAAAACCGUUUUGGUUUAAACCGGUAAAUGUCCACCUCUAGAGGAGACUACAGUACUACACCCAAUAAGCUUUCUUCCAGGCUCCAGCCCAUAAGCUAUAAGUUGCAUAAAGUCCGUGAACUCAAUGGCCAACCUAUGAUAUGCAGCCCAUAGUUUUUUUAAAGGACGUUUUAUAAUAACAAUUUUAUUUAUUUAUUAUUUUUUUUUUACAUUACAUUACAAAAGUUGCAUCAUUUUUUGUACAUACCCUGCUCAUAUGCUAUGCUAGAUCUUUCAUUUUUUUAAGUACUAGUUUUGUGUAAAUUAGAGAAAGAACAAUGAAGUCAACAAAAUCUUUAAAAAACCAGAUGUCAAGUUUUAUCACAUAUCCUUAGCGUAAUUCUAAUGUCAAGUUUGCAUCGAUCUACACUUGAAUCAUACAAAUAACAGAUCACUCGAUAACUCGAACCAUUGAAGAACUGGAAAUCAACAAAAUCUUUAAAAAACCAGAUGUCCGAAGUAAAGCAAGUUGGAAUUUGAAUUGAAGCAAUUGACAAAUCUACACAUGAAUCCAACAAAAUCGAAGAAAAAAAGAAAAAAAGACAACAGAUUUCUACACAGAUCCUUAACAUGAUUCAAAAGUCAUAUUCGCAUCAAUAUCAGAUCGACAUGAAUCCUACAAAAUGAGAUCACCCCAACAAGUUGAAGACCCGAAAAACAACAAAAUCUUGAAAAAAAAUAUUGAAAGCACGAAGAGAAGCAGUUAGAUAUGAAUUGAAUUAGUUAAGAAAUCUACACUCGAAUCUUACAAAAUCUGAGAAAAGUUGGAUUCUACAGAUUUCUCUACAGAUCCUUAGCAAUAUCCAAAUGUCAAAUUUAUGCAUUAAUUACAGAUGAAUUCCACAAUAGCAGAUCAAUCGAACGAGUUUGAAGAACCGAAAAGCAACACAACCAAAUACUAAUUAAUACGAAUAUUUGAAGAGAAGCAAUCGGAAUUACAGUCGACGCAGUUGGAUUUCGAAGAUAACAAAACCUCAAUAUCGAAACCAAAUCUUAAGAAUAGAAAAAAGCUUACUUGAUUCGAAGACGAUAAAGACCGAGGCACUGUAUGACAUUAAACCGACUUGUAUUGCCUCGAUACCAUUGAAAUGCGUUUCAAUUCAUCAACAAAAAGCACAUAUAUAUCAUAAUUUCAUAUCGAACUCAUCUACAUCCUCCUGUUAACAAGGGAGAUUAGUUUUUACGAGAGACAAAAUGUUAAGAGGUGAAAGUAAAUUAUCUGAAAGAGUGAGGUUGAAAAUAGAAAUAAAGAUGGUUUCCUAUAAAGUGACAUUUUAGCCAUGGCGUCAGGAUAUGAAAACGAUAGGUAAAGACCGAUGACUUGGUCCAUACACCUGAAAGCCAGAAGAGCAACAGCUGGCCUGGAUGUUAUUUAUCAGAGCAUGGAGCUACUGUUCUAUACCGC